GCUUGUCUCAAAGAUUAAGCCAUGCAUGUCUCAGUAUAAACUUCUAUACGGUGAAACUGCGAAUGGCUCAUUAAAACAGUUAUAAUUUAUUUGAUGGUCGCUUACUACAUGGAUAACUGUGGUAAUUCUAGAGCUAAUACAUGCGUCAAACCUCGACUUCUGGGAGAGGUGUAUUUAUUAGAUGGAAACCAAUGCGGGGCAACCCGGUAUAUGGUGAUUCAUAAUAACUUUCGGAUCGAUCUUCGGAUCGAUGCAUCAUUCAAGUUUCUGCCCUAUCAGCUUUGGAUGGUAGGGUAUUGGCCUACCAUGGCUUUAACGGGUAACGGAGAAUUAGGGUUCGAUUCCGGAGAGGGAGCCUGAGAAAUGGCUACCACAUCCAAGGAAGGCAGCAGG
This 393-nucleotide ribosomal RNA is filed under the name uncultured Chrysophyceae. RNAcentral describes it as "partial small subunit ribosomal RNA". It matches the Rfam family "Eukaryotic small subunit ribosomal RNA", at positions 30 to 432 of the family's 1831-position model. Lineage: Eukaryota; Chrysophyceae. The record is from RNAcentral.